GUGUUACAAUCACGAACCAGGAUUUCAUGUUAAAGUCGCAUCAACUAGAGUUUCAUUAUCCGAUUCUCGCAACGACGAAUUACCACCCAACAAUGCUGUGUCCUGUCUGACCUCCUGACAUAACCCCUUGAUUAAGUCGUCAAUAGCUCGACUGAUCAGAAGAGUAGAACACUCCCCUUCCGGCAAGCUUCUUAAUACUUGACCUAUAUCAACAUUCAAGCCUCUCAAUUCUGCCGUUGGCCGUUGCCUAAAUAUCUUCCCCUGUUUCCUUUUAAGGCCAUUACAGGAAGACGUUCCAUCUCUC
RNAcentral lists this long non-coding RNA (304 nucleotides) under Gossypium barbadense (sea-island cotton). RNAcentral's name for it is "long non-coding RNA (GBAR_LNC021393)". Lineage: Eukaryota; Viridiplantae; Streptophyta; Magnoliopsida; Malvales; Malvaceae. The record is from RNAcentral.